CNCNGCCCAGANUCNUACGGGAGGCAGCAGUAGGGAAUCUUCCGCAAUGGACGAAAGUCUGACGGAGCAACGCCGCGUGAGUGAUGAAGGUUUUCGGAUCGUAAAGCUCUGUUGUUAGGGAAGAACAAGUGCAAGAGUAACUGCUUGCACCUUGACGGUACCUAACCAGAAAGCCACGGCUAACUACGUGCCAGCAGCCGCGGUAAUACGUAGGUGGCAAGCGUUGUCCGGAAUUAUUGGGCGUAAAGGGCUCGCAGGCGGUUUCUUAAGUCUGAUGUGAAAGCCCCCGGCUCAACCGGGGAGGGUCAUUGGAAACUGGGAAACUUGAGUGCAGAAGAGGAGAGUGGAAUUCCACGUGUAGCGGUGAAAUGCGUAGAGAUGUGGAGGAACACCAGUGGCGAAGGCGACUCUCUGGUCUGUAACUGACGCUGAGGAGCGAAAGCGUGGGGAGCGAACAGGAUUAGAUACCCUGGUAGUCCACGCCGUAAACGAUGAGUGCUAAGUGUUAGGGGGUUUCCGCCCCUUAGUGCUGCAGCUAACGCAUUAAGCACUCCGCCUGGGGAGUACGGUCGCAAGACUGAAACUCAAAGGAAUUGACGGGGGCCCGCACAAGCGGUGGAGCAUGUGGUUUAAUUCGAAGCAACGCGAAGAACCUUACCAGGUCUUGACAUCCUCUGACAACCCUAGAGAUAGGGCUUUCCCUUCGGGGACAGAGUGACAGGU
RNAcentral lists this ribosomal RNA (723 nucleotides) under Bacillus aerius. RNAcentral describes it as "bacterial SSU rRNA". It matches the Rfam family "Bacterial small subunit ribosomal RNA", at positions 325 to 1039 of the family's 1533-position model. Lineage: Bacteria; Bacillati; Bacillota; Bacilli; Caryophanales; Bacillaceae. The record is from RNAcentral.